CCUACGGGUGGCAGCAGUGAGGAAUAUUGGUCAAUGGACGAGAGUCUGAACCAGCCAAGUAGCGUGAAGGAUGACUGCCCUAUGGGUUGUAAACUUCUUUUAUAUGGGAAUAAAAUGUUCCACGUGUGGGAUUUUGUAUGUACCAUAUGAAUAAGGAUCGGCUAACUCCGUGCCAGCAGCCGCGUUAAUACGGAGGAUCCGAGCGUUAUCCGGAUUUAUUGGGGUUAAAGGGAGCGUAGGUGGAUUGUUAAGUCAGUUGUGAAAGUUUGCGGCUCAACCGUAAAAUUGCAGUUGAAACUGGCAGUCUGGAGUACAGUAGAGGUGGGCGGAAUUCGUGGUGUAGCGGUGAAAUGCUUAGAUAUCACGAAGAACUCCGAUUGCGAAGGCAGCUCACUGGACUGCAACUGACACUGAGGCUCGAAAGUGUGGGUAUCAAACAGGAUUAGAUACCCCAGUAGUC
RNAcentral lists this ribosomal RNA (460 nucleotides) under uncultured bacterium. Its description in RNAcentral is "partial 16S ribosomal RNA". It matches the Rfam family "Bacterial small subunit ribosomal RNA", at positions 338 to 795 of the family's 1533-position model. The record is from RNAcentral.